RNAcentral lists this long non-coding RNA (8800 nucleotides) under Lactuca sativa (garden lettuce). The record is from RNAcentral. Lineage: Eukaryota; Viridiplantae; Streptophyta; Magnoliopsida; Asterales; Asteraceae.
AUUGUGUUUCAAACAAAGGUUUCUUUAUACUUAAACUGUUUUAUCAAACAAAUACUUCCAAACCGUUUUAUAAGCUGACAAUGAAGUCGAUCUUUUCAUAGAUAUUAAUCUUUUUCAAAGGCUUUACAAAACCUCUUUUAUGCUUUUAUAUUAUCAAAUGAAUGCCCAUAUAUGUAUAGUUAUAUAAGUAAUGUUUAAAGGACUUAGGAAGGCUAACUCACUCUAUUUCCUUUUCACUUUGUUAGUUAUAUAUCAUGUAUACAUAUGUAGACAUAAAAGUCUUCCUCAGUCAGUUAAGUACCUUUGGGUAGCAAAGGCAUACUUCAGGUUAUACAUGUACAUUGUUAGUAACUAUAAUAGGUAUAAUUAGGAGAUACCACUUACCAUUCCAAGUACAAGGAAUCACACAAGAGUCAGUUCAUUCAUGAGUCUAUACUAAUACAUAGAUACACUUACAUAUAUACACUUACAUGAUUACGCUUACAUAUAUAUGAUUACAUAGAUACACUUACAUGAAUACGUUUACAUAGAUACGCUUACAUGAAUCCUCUUACAUGGAUACGCUUAUAUGAGUCCUCUUACAUGGAUACUUUUACCUAGAUACUAUAUGAUGAGAUACUAUUACAUACUAUACAUGUAGAUUAGAUCUGUCUAUCCUAUUACAAAAGGAUAUUUUGCGGGACUAACCAUUCCUAUAACCUCUGUUAGCUAUAGAGGUAAAUGCAUAUCUACGGAUGUCUACGGUUGAUACCAUUAUAGGUAUACUUUAAGGGACUAACUAUUCCUAAACCCAACUGUUAGCAACAAAGGUAAAUGUACAUCUUCGGAUGACUAUAGUUAAUACCAUUCGGUAAUUUCUAUGUCGUGUUUAUCCUAGUACCUAUUGAUAAUACUUAAGUUAUUAGCUCAUUUCCUUUACUUUGUGAUAAAUUCACAUAAACGACGAGGUAGACUAAUACUUAUAUAGUUAUAUUAUUACCUUUAUUUUCUAACACUUUUACAUUAUCGAUGAGGUAGACUAUAGUUUUAUAAUAAUAGUUAAACAGGGAAAAACCGUCACAUUUAUAGUGAUGCGUACUUUCAAAACAUUCGGGUCUUGGUAGCAGACUACUUUCAAAACAGUCUAUGCUUGGUAGAAGACUACUUUCAAAACAGUUAGGUCUUGGUAGAAGACUACUUUUUAUACAAAUAGAAAUCAUAGGGAUUUGCUAGGGUGUUUAAACGUUUUCAACUACUUUCAAACAGUUCAUACUUAUACAAACUUUUUCAAAAUGUUUACAAGUCUUUACUUUCCAGUUUUACAAAUCAAAGACACAUUAAUACUUAUGAAUUCACCAGUUUUAUUGCUGAUACUCGCUUUCAAAAUAACUUGUAUUCUCAUAUCACAAAUAGACAGGUACAACGACCAGGUUUUGUGAAGACGGAGAAAUCAAGACUCCUAUUUUAUUUUGAUUGAUCUUUAUGUUGUCUUAUACUAUGAAAGAACACUUGUAAUUAAAAUUAUACUAUUAAUGCAAUGGAUGAUGUUGUUGCUUGUUUACUACUUUGCAUUGUUGUGAUACAUUAUAUGACGUCCUCCAGCCCAGAACGUUUCCGCCGUUCUCAGUUUUGGGGUGUGACAGAUUGGUAUCAGAGCAUUGUUUAUAGUGAAUUAAGUAUAUCAAUCCAUAAAAGAUAUACAGACUAUAAAUACAAUAGGAUUAAAAAUACUCUGACCAAGAGUUUAUACUUUUAAAUAAUAAAAUAUUUAACAAAGUAUACGUGCCUGAAUUCAUACUAAAAUCCGUGUUACAAUGACAAGAACAAAAGUAUUACGAUUGUUGAAUAUCACAGGUAAGCUCGGGGAUGUAUGGUCAGUCUUGGGAGUGGCAUAGCCUGAUCAACUAUGGUUUUCCAAGGAGUGAUUAGCACAUGCCCAAGAAUGGUUGUGAUGUGUCAACAAGUCUAAAAACUUACCAACACUACUACAAUGAGAACAUUAUAACAGAGCCUAGGUCUAAAAUACCAUAGGGGUGUUUUGUUUUACUAUAAUUACUUACUUGAGAACUAAAAAGGAUCUUCAUUACUAAUUUGAUAGUUGCUAAGUGGAUACACUAAGGUUAUAUGUAACUAGGAUGUUAAAGACUUAGAAUAUGUGAAAUUUUUGCUUUACCCCGGUUCCUUGUGAAUUCGGAGUUAAGGUCAUUUAUUCGAAGGCCUAUCCUGUUUUGAUUACAUAUGACUAGUAUGCACUUUUCAAAUAGUGAUGUAACUAAUGAAGAUUUUCUAAUAAUUAUCUAGAUAGUUCGUAUAAUAAUUAUUUCCUUACCCCAAUUCUCGCAUAGAUAACAUGGCUGGACUCCAUCCCCAUGGCAACCCGUACCUUCCGAAUGAAGGCAAUGCUAGAGGGUUUGGAGAAGAACCCGAGAAUGAUCAUCCAAUCCAUUUGAAUGAUCACCAUGCUGAAGACCUUUCGGAUGAUGAUAACUCCGAACCCGAGGUUGAGAACCUACCCCUGGUAGCUCCGAUUCCAAAUCCUAACCCUUGUCUGGCUUUUCAUGGCCCGACGCCCCCUUGGGUCGAAUGUUUGGAAGCAUGGAGCGAAGAUCAAGAUCAACCUAUGUCGUUUAAUGGAAACCGAAGCUUCUACAACGUAAAUGAAGGGAGCACAGCAGACAGUGUUCUACUAAUCCUGAUCUGUAGUGUUGCCCGAAACGAAAUUCAGGGCAGGACAACUCUACAUCGUAUCAUAGAAGUUGACACCAAUGGAGGAAUGCAUAUCCUUCGCACCAAUCACCUUGAGCAUGCUCGGGAGAGUUCUGAGAGAGACCACGAAACCCUGUUGUAAGCAUUAGCUGAAACCCGAGCCGAAGUCAUAGAGCUCCGAGUACGUCAGAGGGUAUACAAAAGAUACCUGCUUGAUAUGGAACGUCAACUAGUAGAACUAAGGGUUCACCAUAAGGGUGAGUGUCGCCAGUAGGAGAUGUUGUACUUCCUUCCUUGUUUUAAAAGAACCAUGUUCCUGUAUAUGUUUUGUGUAACUCCUUCUAUGUGACUACCUUGUACUGUAAGUACUUUAGUUAGGUCUUUAUGCUGUCAAAGACUUUUAUAUUCCAGAUGUGAUGUAAGACCUACUACCAGGUCAAUUUUUCCCAAACUUAUUACAUCUUAAACAUCGAUGAUAUUGAUAGUCGACUAACUUCCGUGUCACUCUUUGUUCAAAUACUUUCAUCAUACCUUCAUUUGAGUCGAUCUGCAACUUGCUCUCGUCAAACCUUUGGACUAUAGUAAUUUUAACUCAGGAAUCAUAUCCAAGUCUCUUUUAAUGGUUGGAUCAUAUUAUUCACCAACCUAUAACAUCUCGGCGCGAACGAUAAACGUCUUGAGACUAGUCUAUGAACUUACUUCUACUCCUUACUAAGACUGCCUCAUAGGGAUGUAGGUCAAACCUUCGUAAACAUACUUCUAUUUCGUACUAGGACUGCAUCAUAGGGAUGUAGGUCAAACAUCCGAGAACAUACUCUUACUCUUCCAUUGAACGAUCGAAGUACAUCUAGAGUCAAUAGCAGCCUUUACUACAAAUCUUAGUUCAUCGAAUAGAAUUCGUAAGAAGAAUAUUAUCAUGACCUUCCUCGCUUAUACAUUCCAGAGUUAUAUCAAACGAAGACCUGGUAGACAAUAGAAUGUGAGAUUUCUAAUUUAGUUUCUUUUCCUCGUUGGGAUGUGGGACUAGAGUAGAAUCAUACAUUUUAUUAUCCGCCCCAUCUUGAUUAUAUCAUAACGUGUAUAAGCUAAGUUUUCAUGUAUAAUAACUCCUCUCUUAACCUGAAUCAAAAUGAUACAUGUUCAACCAUAUUAGCUCACAAACUCCUUUUCUUUCGUAUUACAGAAUCAUGUCAUCAUCCAGAAAUAGUCAGUCGAACAACGAAACCCCUAUCCUUCAUAUCGACGCUGCUACAUUACAGGCCGCAGUAAUAGCUGCUGUGAUAGCUUUCCUUUCCCACAUCAACUCUGACACCGCAAAAAAGACUGGCAAAGGAGUCGACAACUCUAAUGGUUGUACCAAUCCGGAAAGCCAACAAUUGGCAACAAUCACGGACUUGCAAAGCCGAAAAACCGAGAGGAAUAAGCGAAAGCGCCAAGCCCAAAAGGAGCGCAAAGGAUCCCAAAGACUUGCUACACAACAACAACAAGUGGAAACUCCCACCAUCCCAACACCAAUCAGGCCAUACGAAGGAAAACUUCCAAAGUGUAACAAGUGUAGCUUUCAUCACAAUGGGGCUUAUCAUGAAAUGCAAUGCUGCAAUUGCUAAAAGGUAGGGCACCAUGCCCAUAGCAGUGGAGCACCAGCACGACCCAUUUCUCAAGUCCCUGGCAUUGGGAUCAGCCCCGCGCACGGUGAUGGUGGUAAAACCGAACCCCAUAAAAGAAAAUUUUCAAAGUGGAUGAAUGAGGAGGGCACCCGUGUUCACGUAAAUCUGACUCGACACCUCACUUCCACCGCCAAUGCUAGUACGAGUCAGACAUUCCACCAAUGCGACGAGAAUGGACACCUCAAAAAGGACUGUCCAAAAAUAAAGAACUCCGGCGCGGACGGAAGGAUACUAAGGAUCACUGCCAUAGGAGAAACUACUCCGGACCCCCGUUAAAGUAUCAAAGGCGUUCGUUGUAACAGACUCAUAAACUGUUUAAAACUAGUGCUACUCAAGUCUUAUCUGUUGCGAGUUCCCGUCAGUUAAGGGACCCCCGUGCUGUGUAUACUUCGCUUUUUGUAGUAUACCUUAUUCGUAGCAGCAUUCCCGUAGUACUCUAAAGUACUAGAAUUCUGUUGAAAGUUGCACUGUUGUGUUUUGUCUAUAAUGCUUUUAUGUUCAAAUCUAGUGUCUUUACAUUCAAGUACAUCCGAUAUUAUCAUACGACUUGAGUUCAUUUGAUCCUCGCAAUACCAGUUUCGUACGCACAUCUCUUUCUCCGAAAUCGCCUUUCUAGCGAAGCCGUGAUUUCAGAACUCCGAAGUACUCAUGCAUAGAGUACCUCAUGUUUCAUAGAAUUCUCGAAGAAACCACAAAAAACAUCCCCGAAGUACCACUCGUAUAGACGGAGACUGCUCAAGACUACUAGAAAUCGAAUCGUAAUGUGACCAAACUUAGAACCCAAUACGAUUCCGGUAACUAGAUCGCCCUAUGAUCUAACACCCCCCGCGCUACAAGAACUGUCAGGUCCAACCUAGCAAACUACUCAAAAAUGGAAUAAGAAGACCAAGCUCCUCACCUUUGAGGGCUCCGGUCUUAUUCAUCAAGAAGACAGACUUCAUUGGAUGCGAUCAUACCAAUGCCAAUGCACCGGAUCCCAUCAGAACUCCGCAGUUAAAAACAUGCUUAGGCGAGAGAAGUACUAUAACGCAUAACACCUUGGGAAUCCCUUGUAGCGCAUACCUCAACAGGACUUCCAUUAGAAAUCAUUACCUUCUGCUUCACAUAGAUGAGUUGGUUGAUCAACCGCAAGGAACGAAGUGCAUUUCAGAAGUGGACCCAAAAUCCGAAUAUCACCAGUUACGAGUGUUAGUGAAGGAUGUCCCAAGGACAAUCUUCCAAACUCGAUAUGGACACUAAGAGUCUGUAGUGAUACCCCUCGGAUAUGACCAAUACGCCCGUGGUAUUCAUGAACUUAAUGAAUAGGGUACACCAUUCUUACUUGGAUCAGUAUGUCAUUGUCCUUGUAAAUGACUUACUUAUCUACUCUCGUAGUAAGAAGGAAAUCAUAAAGAACAUCUACAAUGAACCAUGGAAAUGUUACGAUCAGAGAAGCUUUACGCGAAGUUCUCUAAAUACGAGUUUUAGAAUUGAAGAGUCGAAUUCCUAAGACACACUAUUAGUGAUGUGGGAAUUCUUGAGGAUCCUUCCAAACAUCAAAACUGUCAAGAAUUUGUCAGCACUGAAGACGCUUAUGGAAUUCGCCAAAUUCUUGGUCUCGCUGACCUACCGUCGUAAGUUCAUUCAGAACUCCUCGCGAAUUACGGAACCUCUUACGACUUUGACUCAGAAGGGAUUAGCCCUUGACUGAGAAGAGAAGCAAGAGGGAGAAACCUAGGAAUCCCAAGUGAGACAAAAUCCUUUUGGAAGCCUCACUCUAGAAGGCUUGAUAUGCUUCAGAAAGCGUGGACAGCUAAAUCCAAGAGAGUUAGGACCUCCGAUAUUCUUACCCAAAUCGGCCCUGUAACUCGCAAAUCCAACCUACAUUGCAAACUCAGUAAAGUACAUUUCUCCCUUCACGUCUCAAACUUGAAAAACGUACCUUUCCAUCAGGAAUCUCGUAAUCCCACUCGAUGAGAUCGAGAUCAAUGAGAGCCUCGCCUUCGUGGAAGAACCAUUGAAAUCAAGGACCGAGAGGUCAGGCGAACAAUACAAAGACGUCUCUCAUUAGUGAAGCUUCGCUGGAAUGCCAACCGGGGACCUGAAUUCACUUGGGAGCACGAGAAUCAAUCGAUUAGGAAGUAUACCCACCUCCUUGCUCGAUUAGUCAUGCCUACUCUUUACCUAAAUUCUAAUUUUGGGACGAAAUUCCCUCUAACAGGGGGAUGAUGUGACAACCCGAAAUUUUCUACUCUGUACAACCUUUGACUUCAAUAGAAGUCAGAACAGCUUCUGCUAAUUUUCAAGCUUUUGGAAUAAGUUUGAGUGGUUUAAAGUUAGUACUUCAAGAGAUAACUGGAGAGAGGAUGCCCUAGUGUUUAUUGUAUAUCAAAUAGUUUCCAAAAACCCCAAGAGUUUAGAGUUUACGGCCCAAAAUGGCAUUAGGGCCGUAAACCCUAAAGGCUAUAUAAGUAAGACUUAGCCAUUUUUAGUUCAUCUCUUCCAUUUGAACUAGAGAAAACCCGAUUUCUCUCCCAAGGAUCUUCAAUCGUUCGUCGCAAAUUGUAAGUACUACAACCUUGGAUUGUAUUAAAGUGUAUUACAUGCCUAGAUAUCAUUGAAAUCCUCCAAAAUCACAAGGACAAGGUGUUUACGGCCCAAGAUCUUCUUGGACCGUAAACACUAAAUAUGGUGCCAAAGUGUGCCCUAUGUCCUUACAAACCUUGGAAACAAACCUAGAACCUUCCCUUGAUGCGUUUAGCACAUAAAAAUCACCAAAAUACCCUAUUUAUAUGUGUUUACGGUUUGGGGAUCUCCCAAAACCGUAAACACCCCAAAGUGGGUUAUGAUGCCCCAUAUUCCUUCCUUAUGCCUAGAAACUAGCCUAGACUUUUACCUUGAAGUGUUUAGGACUCGAAAACAUCAAAAUACCAUGGUCCAUAGGAUUUUACGGCAGCAAACACAUGGAGAAAUGGUCCAUGGGCCAUAAACUCCAUUUAGGAGUGAAUUGUUGCCCUAAUCACUUCCUAAGGCUUAGACUUGAAGUUAGAAUGCUUCAAAAUGACUUCUAGGAAUUCAAAGCACACAAUGGUCAAAAGGACAUGAGUUUACGGCCGUAAACUCAUGGGUUUACGACCGUAAACUCAAUUGGAGUUGGUCCCAAAACCGUAAAGACCAUUUAGUGCCUUUUCACUUCCCUUUGUUGAAUCACAUGUGAUUCCAACACUUAACCAAGGUGUUUCCUAGUCCCGGAAGGGUUUUCUUUCAUAUAGUUGUUUAUAAACACUAUAUUCAUGUCAAUAUGUGUCCUUAUAUGUCGUUUAGGACUUAUUGUGUCACGAGACUUCAUUCGUGGAACUUCUCAUCCGUACGCGCAUACCCGUUUGAAUCACCCACAUCAGGUGAGUUCAUACCCAUUGAAUUAACUUUUUAAAUGUUUCUAAAUGUUUUUAAAUGCUUUAGGGGGGGAUACAAUCUGAAUCAUGCUAGUUAUUAUAUCAAUCACAUGUGAUUAAUAACUAACAUGCAAAUGGAUUUACUAUACGUUAACUGUUUCACCAAACAGAUUUCUUCUAAUGUUUUCUUAAAUGUUUUAUAUGUUUAAAACUCUUUAUUAAACUGUUUAUUAUACACUGUAUGUUUCAUUUCAAACUCUUUUACAAUUGUGUUUCAAACAAUGGUUUCUUUAUACUUAAACUAUUUUUAUCAAACAAAUACUUCCAAACCGUUUUAUAAGCUAACAAUCAAGUCAAUCUUUUCAUAGAUAUUAAUUUUUUUGAAAGGCUUUAUAAAACUUCUUUUAUGCUUUUAUAUUAUCAAAUGAAUGACCAUAUAUGUAUAGUUAUAUAAGUAAUGUUUAAAGGACUUAGGAAGGCUAACUCACUAUAUUUCCUUUUCCUCGUUGGGAUGUGGUUAUGGGGUAUCGGUUAUCGGUCCGAAUGUCGUCUAAAUAUUAGUUAUAUAUCAUGUAUACAUAUGUAGGCAUAAAAGUCUUCCUCAGUCAGUUAAGUACCUUUGGGUAGCAAAUGCAUACUUCAGGUUAUACAUGUACAUUGUUAGUAACUAUAAUAGGUAUAGUUAGGAGAUACUACUUACCAUUCCAAGUACAAGGAAUCACACAAGAGUCAGUUCAUUCAUGAGUGUAUACUAAUACAUAGAUACACUUACAUAUAUACACAUACAUGAUUACGCUUACUUAUAUACGAUUACAUAGAUACGCUUACAUGAGUACGUUUACAUAGAUAUGCUUACAUGAAUACGUUUACAUAGAUACGCUUACAUGAAUCCUCUUACAUGGAUACGCUUACAUGAGUCCUCUUACAUGGAUACUUUUACCUAGAUACUAUAUGAUGAGAUACUAUUACAUACUAUACAUGUAGAUUAGAUCUGUCUAUCCUAUUACAAAAGGAUAUUUUGCGGGACUAACCAUUCCUAUAACCUCUAUUAGCUAUAGAGGUAAAUGCAUAUCU